Gorilla gorilla gorilla (western lowland gorilla) is the source of this 342-nucleotide long non-coding RNA. RefSeq lists it as uncharacterized. The record is from RefSeq and is a predicted model, not a curated record. NCBI's taxonomy places the organism in Eukaryota, Metazoa, Chordata, Mammalia, Primates, Hominidae. The transcript is spliced from 3 exons.
GGUGCUCACAUUGGUGGAGUAAGAAGCACUGCACAGAAAUAGCUCAUUGGCAGAAUUGUGCUCUCAAGGAUGGAUAUCUUCAAGCCAUCCUUGACUCUCUAGAGCAGAAAGACAAACAAGUGUAAUGCUGAGGAGUGGGAAAAAUGUUUAAUUGCAAGCAGAAGAAUCUCACGUGAAAUUUUUACAAGUGAGGAAACGGAAGCACAAAAAGGCUGUGCUAAGGUCAAGCAGAUCAUACUGCCUGACAGAAUUUGAGGUAAAGACAUGUGGAUUGACCCCAGUCACAAAGCUGUUUGGUGGCAUGACCAGGCCCAGAACUGAUCUGCUUUCUGCAACCCAGUG